Molecule: ribosomal RNA, 119 nt
Organism: Pteropus vampyrus (large flying fox)
Lineage: Eukaryota; Metazoa; Chordata; Mammalia; Chiroptera; Pteropodidae
Source: Ensembl
GUCUACAAUCAUGCCACCCUGAAAAAGCCCGAUGACAUCUGAUCUUGGAAGCUAAGCAAGGUCAGGCCUGGAUAGUACUUGGAUGGGAGACCACCUAGGAAGACCAAGUGCUGUAGGUG